RNAcentral lists this ribosomal RNA (468 nucleotides) under uncultured bacterium. RNAcentral describes it as "partial 16S ribosomal RNA". It matches the Rfam family "Bacterial small subunit ribosomal RNA", at positions 28 to 507 of the family's 1533-position model. The record is from RNAcentral.
GACGAACGCUGGCGGCGUGCUUAACACAUGCAAGUCGAACGGAAAGGCCCUGCUUUUGUGGGGUGCUCGAGUGGCGAACGGGUGAGUAACACGUGAGUAACCUGCCCUUGACUUUGGGAUAACUUCAGGAAACUGGGGCUAAUACCGGAUAGGAGCUCCUGCUGCAUGGUGGGGGUUGGAACGUUUCGGCGGUUGGGGAUGGACUCGCGGCUUAUCAGCUUGUUGGUGGGGUAGUGGCUUACCAAGGCUUUGACGGGUAGCCGGCCUGAGAGGGGGGCCGGCGACAUGGGGACUGAGGGACGGACCAGACUCGUACGGGAGGCAGCGGUGGGGAGUAUUGCACAGUGGGGGGGAGCGUGAGGAGAAAACGCCGGGAGCGGAAAGAAGGCCAUGGGGGGGGAAAGCGCAGUAGGCUGAGACGAAGCGGGAGUGACGGUAAUAAGUAAAGAAGCACCGGCUAACUACGUG